GGUUCUGUGGUGUAAUGGUUAGCACUUUGGACUUUGAAUCCAAUGAUCCGAGUUCAAAUCUCGGCAGGACCU
This 72-nucleotide transfer RNA is filed under the name Dendronephthya gigantea. RNAcentral describes it as "tRNA-Gln". It matches the Rfam family "tRNA". Rfam says of the family: Transfer RNA (tRNA) molecules are approximately 80 nucleotides in length. Lineage: Eukaryota; Metazoa; Cnidaria; Anthozoa; Malacalcyonacea; Nephtheidae. The record is from RNAcentral.